UACAGAGGGUGCAAGCGUUAAUCGGAAUUACUGGGCGUAAGGCGUGCGUAGACGGUUAUUUAAGUCAGGUGUGAAAGCCCAGGGCUCAACCUUGGAAUUGCAUUUGAGACUGAAUAGCUAGGGUGCGGAAGAGGGAAGCGGAAUUUCCGGUGUAGCGGUGAAAUGCGUAGAUAUCGGAAGGAACACCAGUGGCGAAAGCGGCUUCCUGGUCCAGCACCGACGUUCAGGCACGAAAGCGUGGGGAGCAAACAGG
This 253-nucleotide ribosomal RNA is filed under the name uncultured bacterium. RNAcentral describes it as "partial 16S ribosomal RNA". It matches the Rfam family "Bacterial small subunit ribosomal RNA", at positions 524 to 776 of the family's 1533-position model. The record is from RNAcentral.